AGUUUGAUCCUGGCUCAGGACGAACGCUGGCGGCGUGCCUAAUACAUGCAAGUCGAGCGGACAGAUGGGAGCUUGCUCCCUGAUGUUAGCGGCGGACGGGUGAGUAACACGUGGGUAACCUGCCUGUAAGACUGGGAUAACUCCGGGAAACCGGGGCUAAUACCGGAUGCUUGUUUGAACCGCAUGGUUCAAACAUAAAAGGUGGCUUCGGCUACCACUUACAGAUGGACCCGCGGCGCAUUAGCUAGUUGGUGAGGUAACGGCUCACCAAGGCAACGAUGCGUAGCCGACCUGAGAGGGUGAUCGGCCACACUGGGACUGAGACACGGCCCAGACUCCUACGGGAGGCAGCAGUAGGGAAUCUUCCGCAAUGGACGAAAGUCUGACGGAGCAACGCCGCGUGAGUGAUGAAGGUUUUCGGAUCGUAAAGCUCUGUUGUUAGGGAAGAACAAGUACCGUUCGAAUAGGGCGGUACCUUGACGGUACCUAACCAGAAAGCCACGGCUAACUACGUGCCAGCAGCCGCGGUAAUACGUAGGUGGCAAGCGUUGUCCGGAAUUAUUGGGCGUAAAGGGCUCGCAGGCGGUUCCUUAAGUCUGAUGUGAAAGCCCCCGGCUCAACCGGGGAGGGUCAUUGGAAACUGGGGAACUUGAGUGCAGAAGAGGAGAGUGGAAUUCCACGUGUAGCGGUGAAAUGCGUAGAGAUGUGGAGGAACACCAGUGGCGAAGGCGACUCUCGGUCUGUAACGAC
Molecule: ribosomal RNA, 750 nt
Filed under: Bacillus mojavensis
Lineage: Bacteria; Bacillati; Bacillota; Bacilli; Caryophanales; Bacillaceae
Description: bacterial SSU rRNA
Rfam family: Bacterial small subunit ribosomal RNA
Source: RNAcentral